CCUACGGGUGGCUGCAGUGGGGAAUAUUGCACAAUGGCCGAAACCCUGAUCCAGCGACGCCGCGUGAGCGUUGAAGUAUCUCGGUAUUUAAAGCUCUAUCAUCCGGGAAGAAAGUGACAGUACUUGACAAAGAAGCCCCUGCUAACUACGUGCCAGAAGCCCCGGUACAUCGGAGGGGCCACGCGUUAUCCGGGUUUACGGGCCGUAUCGGGAGCGCUGGCGGAACGGCAAGUCUGGUGGGAAAACCCGGGGCCCAAGCGCGGGAGUGCAAUGGAACCUGCCUGGCUGGAGUGUAGGAGGGGUAAGAGGAAUGCGUGGUGUAGCGGUGAAAUGCGUAGAUAUUA
RNAcentral lists this ribosomal RNA (344 nucleotides) under uncultured bacterium. RNAcentral's name for it is "partial 16S ribosomal RNA". It matches the Rfam family "Bacterial small subunit ribosomal RNA", at positions 338 to 699 of the family's 1533-position model. The record is from RNAcentral.